RNAcentral lists this ribosomal RNA (835 nucleotides) under Escherichia coli. RNAcentral describes it as "partial 23S ribosomal RNA". It matches the Rfam family "Bacterial large subunit ribosomal RNA", at positions 418 to 1253 of the family's 2925-position model. The record is from RNAcentral. Lineage: Bacteria; Pseudomonadati; Pseudomonadota; Gammaproteobacteria; Enterobacterales; Enterobacteriaceae.
CGGGACACGUGGUAUCCUGUCUGAAUAUGGGGGGACCAUCCUCCAAGGCUAAAUACUCCUGACUGACCGAUAGUGAACCAGUACCGUGAGGGAAAGGCGAAAAGAACCCCGGCGAGGGGAGUGAAAAAGAACCUGAAACCGUGUACGUACAAGCAGUGGGAGCACGCUUAGGCGUGUGACUGCGUACCUUUUGUAUAAUGGGUCAGCGACUUAUAUUCUGUAGCAAGGUUAACCGAAUAGGGGAGCCGAAGGGAAACCGAGUCUUAACUGGGCGUUAAGUUGCAGGGUAUAGACCCGAAACCCGGUGAUCUAGCCAUGGGCAGGUUGAAGGUUGGGUAACACUAACUGGAGGACCGAACCGACUAAUGUUGAAAAAUUAGCGGAUGACUUGUGGCUGGGGGUGAAAGGCCAAUCAAACCGGGAGAUAGCUGGUUCUCCCCGAAAGCUAUUUAGGUAGCGCCUCGUGAAUUCAUCUCCGGGGGUAGAGCACUGUUUCGGCAAGGGGGUCAUCCCGACUUACCAACCCGAUGCAAACUGCGAAUACCGGAGAAUGUUAUCACGGGAGACACACGGCGGGUGCUAACGUCCGUCGUGAAGAGGGAAACAACCCAGACCGCCAGCUAAGGUCCCAAAGUCAUGGUUAAGUGGGAAACGAUGUGGGAAGGCCCAGACAGCCAGGAUGUUGGCUUAGAAGCAGCCAUCAUUUAAAGAAAGCGUAAUAGCUCACUGGUCGAGUCGGCCUGCGCGGAAGAUGUAACGGGGCUAAACCAUGCACCGAAGCUGCGGCAGCGACACUAUGUGUUGUUGGGUAGGGGAGCGUUCUGUAAGCCUGUGA